Molecule: small RNA, 859 nt
Filed under: Pongo abelii (Sumatran orangutan)
Lineage: Eukaryota; Metazoa; Chordata; Mammalia; Primates; Hominidae
Description: retained intron
Source: RNAcentral
ACUUUCCCUGAAGAUGAGGAACUGUCAGAGAAGAUGUUUCACACUCUUGAUGUACUGCAGACUGUCCGCCUGGACCGGGAGGGGAUUACUACUAUCAGGAACUUAGAAGGCCUCCAGAAUCUUCACAGUCUCUAUCUGCAAGGGGUAACUUCUUUCUCCACCCUUCCCCUCCCCUUGACCCCUGUGGACCUAAUCUCUCUCGUCUGAAAGGAGCCAACCAGGUCAUCUUGCCCAUUCCCUGGUGUUCAGGCAGGCAGACCUUCAUUUAAACCAUUCCCAGAUGAAUGACAUAGGGUCCUGAAUUGAAAGACUAAUUCCCUCAAAAUAGAUCCUGAACAUGACCUGUGCUCCCUCCACUGUUCUUUAGGCACUUCUCUUGAUCUAGAAGUUCUUCUUGGCAUCUACUCUAAAUCUUUCAUGUUAAAUAGCUCCAGCCCAUUUCCUGUUUUGAAGAAGAGGAAACUAUGAAGAUUCCUCUACAUCAUUCAGAUCCUACUUGAAGGCUGUUUGGUGGUGGUGGUGGUGGUUGGUUGAUCUUCAGCCUUUCCCUGGUUGAAUAUUCCCAGCUCGCUUCAACUUUCCCCAUAGAAACUUUACCCAUCAAGUUCCUGUAUGCUCAUUGUUCUCUCUGUGUAUGCAAGCCACCACCAAGGCCCUUUCCAUUUUCCUGGUGGCUUCUUGGUUUCCUUUUCUGAUUCCCAGGCCACUCGUUGGUUGUGGAAUCAGAAGAGUAUACUUAGUCAGGUUUAGAUACCCCAGGUUUACACCCUUAACCAUCCACAUGGAGAAAGAAAAUCAUCUUUCUUAAGGUAGUGGCAACCUGUUCAAGGAGUGGGGUGAUCAUUCCCAAAGUGCCAGA